RNAcentral lists this ribosomal RNA (253 nucleotides) under uncultured bacterium. RNAcentral's name for it is "partial 16S ribosomal RNA". It matches the Rfam family "Bacterial small subunit ribosomal RNA", at positions 524 to 776 of the family's 1533-position model. The record is from RNAcentral.
UACGGGGGGGGCAAGCGUUGUUCGGAAUUACUGGGCGUAAAGGGCUCGUAGGUGGCCAACUAAGUCGGACGUGAAAUCCCUCGGCUUAACCGGGGAACUGCGUCUGAUACUGGAUGGCUUGAGUUCGGGAGAGGGAGGCGGAAUUCCAGGUGUAGCGGUGAAAUGCGUAGAUAUCUGGAGGAACACCGGUGGCGAAGGCGGCACCCUGGACCGACACUGACGCUGAGGAGCGAAAGCCUGGGGAGCAAACGGG